Long non-coding RNA from Sapajus apella (tufted capuchin), 4682 nucleotides. RefSeq lists it as uncharacterized. The transcript has 3 exons. The record is from RefSeq and is a predicted model, not a curated record. Lineage: Eukaryota; Metazoa; Chordata; Mammalia; Primates; Cebidae.
GCAGGCAAACUGCCCGGCUUGGGUUCUAGGUCUCUCUCAGUUCCGAUAUCCCGCAUCUUUAGGACUGAAACACGCCAAAGCCCUGCUUACCUCCUGCUGCUCUACUUCUCUAAGCCCACUAGGGUGGACCCUGGAUUUCAGAUCGUUGACACAGUUUGAUCUAACUACUUGAGGCUUCUCGCUCCGAGGCCGAGCUGUCAGUUACUAACCCCUUUACCAGUCCCCCGGAGCUUCUCACCAUUUGUUUUCAAAUUCUGCAAGGUUUCCGCGCCGCCUUAGAUUAGUAGGUGGGGUACUAAAAAAUGUCUUUCCAAAGUAAAGGCAUGUUGCUAAAAUCCCUUCUCCUUGUUUUGCUUGCUGGAAAGCUUUAGUGUCUGCUCUCCCUUACUCCAGAAUAGUCACGGGUAUGAUUCCAGUCUUUCAGGAGGGAAUUCAUGUAAAGGUUACACGACUCACUGGUUGACUUACCUUCUGCAAAGUAAAAUACCAAACGCAGUUUACCUUGGUUCUUUUUAAUCUAGAGGUAAAAAUCAUUUUAAAGGUUUCAUAUUAGCUAUUUCAAUUGUUAGAAUAGGCAUGUGGAAGGUUUUCUGUACCCUUUGAUACGAGGAAAUAGGACCAACAGUGCAUCUGAAAAGUGGGUGUGCAGUAAGAGGCCGAAAUUCCGGUUGCAUUUUAUUCUGUCCAGCACAAUUUAUGAAUCUGUUAAUUCCAAUAGCCCUCAAGAAUAUAUAACUAGAAAAUGUAAGAGUAUCCAAUAAAGUGUGGGUUCUAGAAAAAUUAGAUUGGCCAAAAUUGGCGUCUUCCUGUUCCCAAGUACCUGUAGAAUUUAUUUUAUUUGUUGAAGAAAUUUGAUGCUAUUAUUAUGCCAUAUGUUUGUACUUUGUAUAUUAUUUUAUAUAAUUUGCUAGUUAUUUUCCCUCAGGAAGAUUUAAAAUACUUCUUUGUUUUUUAGUACUGGACCAGUUGGGUUAUUACAUGUUAAUGAACCAGUCUUUCCUUGCAUUCCUUCCACAUAUUUGGUCUUAAGGCUAAUUUUUUUUUUUUUUUUUUUUUUGGUGCUGUUUGCAAAUAAUUGCUCAAUAAGCAUUGACUAGCAUUAAAUUUUUAUUCAUUUGGUGGUAUCCAAAUCUUGUCCUGGGGAAUAGAACUUGUGGUAAGAUGACAGGAUUGCCAGUUUCCACUACCAAUAUUCGAUGAUCUUUCUAUUUUUACCUGUAUUCCCUGCUUUCUCAUUGUGUAUGUGUGUUUUAACUGUACAGAACUAGAGGGAAUCAGUGAUCGUAUGGCUUAAAUUUGUAUUGUAGAAAAGGAAACUGAGGCCCAAAGUAGUAAAGAGGCCUGUUUAAUCACAGUUAAAUUAGCACCAAAUGAAAACAAAAUUAAGUUUAAAAAAAAAAUUAUUGGCAUAAUGGAGUAGAACCCAGACUCCUGAAUCUGGCUUCAAGCUUCUCUUCCUGCUAUUCAUUUUUUCCACUCCUUUGUUUACCUUUUCCCUCUGCUUUGACAUUGCAGUAGCUUUAGAUCAUCAAGGAUCUCUGACCUAGCCCAGUUUUAUGGGGGGGAUAGAGGCAAUAACAUGUGUAAUAAUUUACAACGUGCUUCUCUGAAGAUGGUACAGGUCCCAUGUUCUUUAAAAAAACAAGCUUCUGACCCAAUGCUGACUGACAGAACUUUCUCAGGUGAUGGAAAUUUUCUGUAUUUGUGCUGACCGAUAUGGUAGCCAUAUGUGGUUCUUGAACAGACUUGUAAUGUGACAUGAUUGAGGAACUGAAAUUUUGAUUUUAUUUAAUUCUAAUUAAUGUAUAAUUAGUCACAUAUGGCUAGUGGCUACCACAUUGGACAACACCACUCUAAAUAUUUGUAGUUUGCCAAUAUGUGAAGAAGAGAAGUGGGUUAAGAUAAAUCCAUUUAAACAUUUUAACUUUUGGCCGAAAGAUUCUUGGAUUAUAUACCCAAACUAGAUUUUUGGGGAAAAAGAGUUUUUUUGGUCAAAUACAUUUGAGAAAAACUGUAUACUCUAGCCUUUUACGUAUGUAACAUGAACUAGCAUUUAAAAAGCUUUGAAAACCCUACAGAAAAUAAACUGGUUUAACUUUGCUUAAUCCAGGCCUUUGCACAUAGUUUGAUACCUUUUUUUAUCCUCUGAACAUCUUUAUUGUUACAGUGGUAUGCAAGAGGCAUGCCUCUGGUAUUAAUGUGAGUUUAAAUCAUGGCUCUAACACUUACUGUGUGACCCUGAACAAAUUGCUUUAACCUCUUUCAACCACACUUUUGCUACCUGUAAAAUGGGGUUGUGGAAUUUCAUUUAUAAGGUUGUUACGUGGAUUAAACAGGACAUUGUGUGAAAGUACUUACAACAGUGCCUGGCUCAUUGUAGGCACUUAGCUAAAACCAGCAUUUAAUGUUUUAUUAUGCUUGGUCCUUGAAACAACUCUAACAUUAAUAAGAAGAGUGGGCAGAUUCUUGUUACUUACAAGGCUAUGUACUUCCUUAGCUUAUUCUCAGAUUUCUGAAAACUAUUUUAACUGUUCUGGGGUAAUUAGUGAUUCACAGGAAAUUGCAAACAUAGUAGAGUCCUUACCUUUUACCAGUUUCCUUCAGUGGUUACGUGUUACAUAACUAUUGUAUAAUACCAACACCAGGAAAUUGACAUUGGUACAAUGUAUAUGUAGCUUUGUGCCAUUUUAUCAUAUGUAGAUUAGCGUAACCACCACUGCAAUCCACAUAAAGAAUUAUUCCACCACCACAAAUUAUGGCCUCUGUCUCUCUACCAUCCCUGUCCCCUGGCAACCACUAAUCUGUUUUUCAUCUCUGUAAUUUUGUCAUUUUGAGACUAUUAUAUACAUGAAAUUAUACAGUAUGUGAUCUUUGGAGAUUGCCCUUUUUCACUCAGCAUGAUGUCCCUGAGAUCCAUCCCUCUAUUACGUUGCUUUAUAGUGUUCCAUGGUAUGGAAGUCCCAUGGUUCAUCUAUUAAAUCAUUGCCCUAUAGAAAGAACGUUUUGGUUAUUUCUGGUUUUGUCCAUUUAUAGAUAAAGCUUCUAUAAACAUUGAUGUUUAGGUUUUUGUGUGCAUGCAACUUUUCAUUUCUUUGGUCAUAUGGUAAGCCACAUCCAUGGAUUCAGCCAACCUGAAAUUGAAAAUAUUAAAAAAAAAAUUGUACUGUACUUGUAUGGACUUUUUUCUUGUUACUGUUCCCUAAACAAUACAGUAUAACAACUAUUUAUAUAGCAUUUACAUUGUAUUAUGUAUAAAAUCAUCUGGAGAUAAUUUAAAGUAUAGGGGAGGAUGUGCAUAGGUUAUAAGCAGUUAGUAUGGCAUUUUGUAUCAGGGAGUUGAUCAUCCUUGGAUUUUAGUGUCCUGGGAGGCUCUGGAACCAAUCCUCCAUGGAUAUCAAGAAUGACUGUGUAUGUUUAUUUUGUUUGUUCGUUUGUUUUUUUAAGAUAUUGCUAAAAUAUUUUCUGGAAUGUCUGUACCAUUUUACAUUCCUGUCAGCAAUAGUAUCUGGUAUUUUCACUAUUUUUAUUUUAGCUAUUUUAAUAGAUGGGUAGUGAUGUAUCAUCAUGAUCUUAAUUUACGUUUCCCAAAUGGCUAGUGAUUUUACACAUCUUUUCAUAUCAUCAUUUGCCAUCUAUAUAUCCUGGUCAGCAAAAUGUCUUUUUAUACCUUUUGCCUAUUUUGUAGUUGAAUUUUGUGUGUGUGUGUGUGUGUGUGUGUGUGUGUGUGUGUAAAGCAUCUGUAGAUCAGUCUGAUUUUUUCAUCUCUUCAGGUCCUUUCCUUCUUUCUGGAAUAUUUUCUCCUAGACCUUUACAUGCCUGACUUGUCUUACUAUUUAGGAAUUAUUCUAAAUGUUACCUCCCAAAAAGAGCUUCAAACUUUGUGCAUCCCACUUAUCAUUACCUGGUACUUUGUUUUUCUUGUACAAUUAGAUCAUAAGAUCCAAGAGGUGCCAGGAACCAUGGCUCAUACCUGUAAUCCUAGCACUUAGAGAGGUAGAGGCAGGAGUAUAGCUUGAGCCCAGGAGUUUGAGACCUGCCUGGGCAACAUAGCGAGACUCCAUACUCCUCAAAAAGGAGGAGAAAAAGAUCCAAGAGAUUAGGGAUUGUGUAUGGCCUUAGCACUAUGGCCUUAGUGCUCAGAAGCAUACCUAGCACUUAGUAGGUUCUUAAAUGUUUGGAUGAAUGAAUGUUUAUAUAAAAAUGGGAUCAGAAUGUACAUGUGUUAAGUGCUCAGGAAAGAAAAGUAAGAUAUACAUCCCUGACCUUAGAUUGAUGACAGUCCAUGGGAGAGGUGGAAAAUUAAAUGUUAAUAACACAGAGUAUAAGUGCUAAGAUGGGGAUACAAAACCAAGGGAUCGUGUGGCAGGAAUAGCUAUCCAGGUUGGGUGGGGAAGAGGAGAAGGCUUUCUGAAAGAAUGACAGUCUAAACAUUUUGUAACCUUCUGAUUUAUCAGGCAGUUUUUCCAUCUAUAAUAUAAUUUAUAGUGGCCGGGUAGCAUUUUAUAAUAUGUAACUAUCAGAGUUUGAUCAGUCCCCUGUUACUAGACAUUUAGAACAUUCCCUGUUUUGUUGUUUUAGAUAAUGCUGUCAUGGAUAUCUUUAUAUAAUCUUCAAUUAUUUUCUUUUUUUUUUUUUAAGAUGGAGUCUUGCGCUGUCCCAGGCUGGAGUACAGUGGUGUGAUC